AUUUCUUUAGUAUACUAGUAUAGAUGACCUCCACUCAUCAGGCCUUAGACACACACUAAGAAGAAAUA
This 68-nucleotide transfer RNA is filed under the name Bavayia robusta. RNAcentral's name for it is "tRNA-Gly". Lineage: Eukaryota; Metazoa; Chordata; Lepidosauria; Squamata; Diplodactylidae. The record is from RNAcentral.